Dendrobium catenatum is the source of this 510-nucleotide long non-coding RNA. RefSeq lists it as uncharacterized. The transcript has 3 exons. Lineage: Eukaryota; Viridiplantae; Streptophyta; Magnoliopsida; Asparagales; Orchidaceae. The record is from RefSeq and is a predicted model, not a curated record.
AUUUGUUUUCUCUUAUCUUGAAAUGUCCUAUAAUAGUACAAAUUACAUGAGCAAAUUUUUGUUAAUAUUAACCCUUUGAAAUGUUUUUUCGAACUAUGGAAGGAACAUGAUCUUGGAAGAAUGACUCAAGAGUUUAAUAUGAUAGUGCUGGUUUUGUACAUCCCUAAUUGCCUCCACAGGUAUCCUCAUAGGUAGUGAUUGUGUUAGAAUUGGUUGUACCGGUUCAAUCUAACCUGUCCAUUUUCAUAUAAUGGAUCGAGCGAGCGGCGAAACAGGAAAAGGGGAUGAGCAAAUCGAUUACGCUCGAGUGGUAGUUUGGUCGAAUGGCUACGAUUUGAGCGCAUACAAGUUCAGAAGCGAACCUAGAUUGGAGGAUAAAGAUGGAAAAAAAGAAUAUUUUUGUGUGCUAGAGAGAGACGAAGAGUUGUGAGUUUCUAUUUCAUUGAGAAGGAAAGAGUGUAAGUACAGUCAGUAAAUGCUUUGACUUGACAAAAUGGAAGAUAAAUUGAG